GGGACAUGUAUACAGAAGGUUCUGUAAUCUGAUUGCAGAUCAGAUAUAAGAGGUUCAAUUCCUCCUUGUCUCU
Molecule: transfer RNA, 73 nt
Filed under: Macrophomina phaseolina
Lineage: Eukaryota; Fungi; Ascomycota; Dothideomycetes; Botryosphaeriales; Botryosphaeriaceae
Description: tRNA-Cys
Rfam family: tRNA
About the family: Transfer RNA (tRNA) molecules are approximately 80 nucleotides in length.
Source: RNAcentral